GGGAUAACCUCGGGAAACUGGGGAUAAUACCCGAUAGGUCUGAGAUGAUGGAAGUCCCUCAGGCCCAAACCCUGCGGGGCUCGAGGAUGGGUCUGCGGCCUAUCAGGUAGUAGGGGGUUUCACGGACCCCCUAGCCAUAGACGGGUACGGGCUUUGGGAGAAGUCGCCCGGAGAUGGAUUCUGAGACACGAAUCCAGGUCCUACGGGACGCAGCAGGCGCGAAACCUCCACAAUGUGGGCAACCACGAUGCGGGAACUCCAAGUGCUUACACUAUGUGUAAGCUGUUCUGGAUCCUAAAAAGCUCCAGAAGUAAGGGCCGGGUAAGACGGGUGCCAGCCGCCGCGGUAAUACCCGCGGCCCGAGUGGUGCUCAUUAUUAUUGAGCCUAAAGCGUCCGUAGCUGGCCGGGCAAAUCUCCGGGGAAAUCGGGCCGCUCAACGGUCCGAAGGCCGGAGACACUGCUCGGCUUGGGAUCGGGAGAGGGUGAAGGUACUCUCGGGGUAGGGGUAAAAUCCUGUAAUCCGGAGGGGACCACCAGUGGCGAAGGCGUUCACCUAGAACGAGUCCGACAGUGAGGGACGAAGCCCUAGGGCGCAAACGGGAUUAGAUACCCCGGUAGUCUAGGGUGUAAACGCUGCAGACUUGGUGUUGGGGGUCCUGCGUGGGCUCCCAGUGCCGGAGCGAAGGUGUUGAGUCUGCCGCUUGGGGAGUACGGUCGCAAGACUGAAACUUAAAGGAAUUGGCGGGAGAGCACCGCAACGGGAGGAGCGUGCGGUUCAAUUGGAUUCAACGCCGGAAAACUCACCGGGGGCGACGGAGGGAUGAAAGCCAGGCUGAAGACCUUGCCCGAUUCUCCGAGAGGUGGUGCAUGGCCGUCGUCAGUUCGUACCGUAAGGCGUUCUGUUAAGUCAGAUAACGAACGAGACCCUCGCCCUCAGUCGCGACCUCACGAGCGAUCGUGAGAGCACACUGGGGGGAUCGCUGCUGCUAAAGCUGAGGAAGGAGAGGUCUACGGUAGGUCCGUAUGCCCCGAAUCUCCCGGGCAACACGCGCGCUACAAAGGUGGGGACAAUGGGAACCGACCUCGAAAGGGGAAGGCAAUCCUGAAACCCCAUCGUAGUCUGGAUCGUGGGCUGUAACUCGC
Molecule: ribosomal RNA, 1144 nt
Filed under: uncultured methanogenic archaeon
Lineage: Archaea; Methanobacteriati; Methanobacteriota
Description: bacterial SSU rRNA
Rfam family: Archaeal small subunit ribosomal RNA
Source: RNAcentral